GAUGAACGCUGGCGGCGUGCCUAAUACAUGCCAGUCGAGCGAACGGACGAGAAGCUUGCUUCUCUGAUGUUAGCGGCGGACGGGUGAGUAACACGUGGAUAACCUACCUAUAAGACUGGGAUAACUUCGGGAAACCGGAGCUAAUACCGGAUAAUAUUUUGAACCGCAUGGUUCAAAAGUGAAAGACGGUCUUGCUGUCACUUAUAGAUGGAUCCGCGCUGCAUUAGCUAGUUGGUAAGGUAACGGCUUACCAAGGCAACGAUGCAUAGCCGACCUGAGAGGGUGAUCGGCCACACUGGAACUGAGACACGGUCCAGACUCCUACGGGAGGCAGCAGUAGGGAAUCUUCCGCAAUGGGCGCAAGCCUGACGGAGCAACGCCGCGUGAGUGAUGAAGGUCUUCGGAUCGUAAAACUCUGUUAUUAGGGAAGAACAUAUGUGUAAGUAACUGUGCAUAUCUUGACGGUACCUAAUCAGAAAGCCACGGCUAACUACGUG
Molecule: ribosomal RNA, 497 nt
Filed under: uncultured bacterium
Lineage: Bacteria
Description: partial 16S ribosomal RNA
Rfam family: Bacterial small subunit ribosomal RNA
Source: RNAcentral